GGGGAUGUGGUCUAGUGGUAUGACGUUUCCUUAGCAUGCUCUCAUCUUCUUCAUGAAGUGAGCCGCAUGGAAAAGGUUCUGGGUUCGAUUCCCAGCCUCUCCA
This is a non-coding RNA of Truncatella angustata, 103 nucleotides long. The record is from the annotation of a RefSeq genome assembly. Lineage: Eukaryota; Fungi; Ascomycota; Sordariomycetes; Amphisphaeriales; Sporocadaceae.